GACGGGCCCUAUCCUCAGGUGUUGGCUGGAACAAACAUACCAAGUGGGACUGUAGUCUUCUGAGGCUCAGACCAGCAAUGAUGGUGGUGAAGACAUUGAUGUCCUGACCAACUAGCUCUGCAUGGGAGACGCCUGGUGAGCAGGAACAGUUUACCCACAAGCUGCAUCACCUGCAGAGAUGGAGUCUCACCUGUCACCCAGGCUGGAGGGCAGUGGUGGGAUCUCGGCUCAAUGCAACCUCCGACUCCCGAGUUCAAGUGAUUCUCCUGCCUCAGCCUCUUGAGUAGCUGGGAUUACAGGCAUGAGACACCACA
Pongo pygmaeus (Bornean orangutan) is the source of this 314-nucleotide long non-coding RNA. RefSeq lists it as uncharacterized. The record is from RefSeq and is a predicted model, not a curated record. NCBI's taxonomy places the organism in Eukaryota, Metazoa, Chordata, Mammalia, Primates, Hominidae. The transcript has 3 exons.